AGAGGAAAUUGUUUCCUCGAGUCGUUGAUUUCACACUGCCGAGAAAAGCCUCUAGCUAGAAUUGUGGUGCCCGUACCGCAAACCGACACAGGUAGUCAAGAUGAGAAUUCUAAGGUGAGCGAGCGAACUCUCGUUAAGGAACUCGGCAAAAUGACCCCGUAACUUCGGGAGAAGGGGUGCUCUUUAGGGUUAACGCCCAGGAGAGCCGCAGUGAAUAGGCCCAAGCGACUGUUUAUCAAAAACACAGGUCUCUGCUAAACCGUAAGGUGAUGUAUAGGGGCUGACGCCUGCCCGGUGCUGGAAGGUUAAGAGGAGUGGUUAGCUUCUGCGAAGCUACGAAUCGAAGCCCCAGUAAACGGCGGCCGUAACUAUAACGGUCCUAAGGUAGCGAAAUUCCUUGUCGGGUAAGUUCCGACCCGCACGAAAGGCGUAACGAUUUGGGCACUGUCUCAACGAGAGACUCGGUGAAAUCAUAGUACCUGUGAAGAUGCAGGUUACCCGCGACAGGACGGAAAGACCCCGUGGAGCUUUACUGUAGUCUGAUAUUGAAAUUCGGCACAGCUUGUACAGGAUAGGUAGGAGCCUGAGAUGCGUGAGCGCUAGCUUACGUGGAGGCGUUGUUGGGAUACUACCCUCGCUGUGUUGGAUUUCUAACCCGCACCAUUUAUCAUGGUGGGAGACAGUGUCAGAUGGGCAGUUUGACUGGGGCGGUCGCCUCCUAAAGAGUAACGGAGGCGCUCAAAGGUUUCCUCAGAAUGGUUGGAAAUCAUUCAUAGAGUGUAAAGGCAUAAGGAAGCUUGACUGCGAGACUUACAAGUCGAGCAGGGUCGAAAGACGGACUUAGUGAUCCGGUGGUUCCGCAUGGAAGGGCCAUCGCUCAACGGAUAAAAGCUACCCCGGGGAUAACAGGCUUAUCUCCCCCAAGAGUUCACAUCGACGGGGAGGUUUGGCACCUCGAUGUCGGCUCAUCGCAUCCUGGGGCUGUAGUCGGUCCCAAGGGUUGGGCUGUUCGCCCAUUAAAGCGGUACGCGAGCUGGGUUCAGAACGUCGUGAGACAGUUCGGUCCCUAUCCGUCGUGGGCGUAGGAAAUUUGAGAGGAGCUGUCCUUAGUACGAGAGGACCGGGAUGGACAUACCUCUGGUGUACCAGUUGUCGUGCCAACGGCAUCGCUGGGUAGCUAUGUAUGGACGGGAUAAGUGCUGAAAGCAUCUAAGCAUGAAGCCCCCCUCAAGAUGAGAUUUCCCAACUUCGGUUAUAAGAUCCCUCAAAGAUGAUGAGGUUAAUAGGUUCGAGGUGGAAGCAUAGCGAUAUGUGGAGCUGACGAAUACUAAUCGAUCGAAGACUUAAUCAAAUU
RNAcentral lists this ribosomal RNA (1354 nucleotides) under Staphylococcus pseudoxylosus. RNAcentral's name for it is "bacterial LSU rRNA". It matches the Rfam family "Bacterial large subunit ribosomal RNA", at positions 1570 to 2925 of the family's 2925-position model. The record is from RNAcentral. Lineage: Bacteria; Bacillati; Bacillota; Bacilli; Caryophanales; Staphylococcaceae.